This 107-nucleotide small nuclear RNA is filed under the name Nannospalax galili (Upper Galilee mountains blind mole rat). The record is from RNAcentral. Lineage: Eukaryota; Metazoa; Chordata; Mammalia; Rodentia; Spalacidae.
GUGCUUGCUUCGGCAGCACAUAUACUAAAAUUGGAAUGAUACAAAGAAGAUUAGCAUGGCCCCUGGGUGAGGAUGACACGCAAAUUCGUGAAACAGUCCAUAUUUUU